UAUAAUCGUCGUGGGGAUAUGGCCUGACCUGUUACAAAGAAAUGCUCUACGGUGGGUGUUAGCUAGAGAUAACAAGAGCAUAAUUAUCGGAACUAUGAUGCGUCAUAACAAGCUACACAGAUGCUUGCAAACCUCGGACCAUAGCACCGUUCAUUUCGAUCCAGAUCAUCACACUACACAUCGGCUGCAGAUAAUUCGGCGCUCCUUGAUCCAAAAUCCGAAGACUUAUUUAAUCAACAGAUAUCUAGAGAGGAGACAGGCUUAUUUGGCAACAGCGAUACCAGGUUCAAAUCAAUAGUCACAAUGAUUUGUAUUUUCCCAAUUAUAUAUCAAAUCAACAGUCUCAAUGAUUU
Molecule: long non-coding RNA, 353 nt
Organism: Zea mays
Lineage: Eukaryota; Viridiplantae; Streptophyta; Magnoliopsida; Poales; Poaceae
Exons: 3
Source: RefSeq, a predicted model, not a curated record